RNAcentral lists this small RNA (461 nucleotides) under Oryza sativa Japonica Group (Japanese rice). Its description in RNAcentral is "sRNA Os02g0664350". Lineage: Eukaryota; Viridiplantae; Streptophyta; Magnoliopsida; Poales; Poaceae. The record is from RNAcentral.
UAGUAGUGGCAAUGGUACCCCGUACCCAUAAAGGUGACGCUGAUAAUUUUUCAUCGUCCCAUGAGAUAUGCAAAUAACGUUGUGUUAUUUGCAAAUUGACCUACAAAAGCUAUUGUUUUGAUCUGUUCAAGUGGCCACCAGCGAGAUGGCUAAUAAACUAGGAGCAUCACCACAACUAAUCAGCACUAACGAGAUAAAUCUAAUCUUGUCCAUAACUGAAUUGCUAACGAACUACUACACUACUGGCUUGGCAAAGAGUUCAGUCCUGGCUGGCAUCUACUACUGCCUUUUGCGCUAGCUUUUUCCUCUUCCUCUCCUGCUUCUCACGCCUCUCUUCGUCCAUGAUCCGGCGGAGCUCCUCGUCGUCCUCUUGUCUUGCAAGUCUUGCACUGCAUAUCCAAAGCAACGGAAAAAUGUUAGCUAGCUAGGUGGUCGUUUUUUGCAACAGGAUUGCAUUGUUG